GCCACUGUAGCUCGGUUGGUAGAGCAUGGUGCUUGCAAUGCCAGGGUUGUGGGUUCGAUUCCCACGGGGGGCC
RNAcentral lists this transfer RNA (73 nucleotides) under Salmo salar (Atlantic salmon). It matches the Rfam family "tRNA". From Rfam's summary of the family: Transfer RNA (tRNA) molecules are approximately 80 nucleotides in length. Their secondary structure includes four short double-helical elements and three loops (D, anti-codon, and T loops). The record is from Rfam by way of RNAcentral. Lineage: Eukaryota; Metazoa; Chordata; Actinopteri; Salmoniformes; Salmonidae.